This 1528-nucleotide long non-coding RNA is filed under the name Homo sapiens (human). RNAcentral describes it as "USP2 antisense RNA 1". Lineage: Eukaryota; Metazoa; Chordata; Mammalia; Primates; Hominidae. The record is from RNAcentral.
CCCCGCGCUCCCCGGCGCCCCCAGCCCGCUGACCCCCGGCCAGGCAGGCCCGCGGGGGAGGCAGGACCGGAGCCCUGAGGCCCUGGCCGGCCUCGGGGUUGAGGCUCAGCUCGGGAUAAGUGAUCUUUGGGGCCCGCAGAGGACGUCUCCCCAAGACCCAGUGGCAACCGGGUGGCACGUACCUGCCUCUUCUUGGAGUAUGGACGAGUCGAACCGGGCACAAGCAUGGAGCUGCGGGUGAGUCCCGGCUGGCGCUGGCGCGGCGCAGUGAGCACCAGCUGACGAAGAGGGCUCCCCGGCCUCGGCUCCUGCCUGACUCUCUCCCACCUCCGCCGGGGGCCCAGAAGGGACCUCCCCGGGAAAUCGGCGCCACCCAGCGGGCAGCCGCCUCAUCGCGCCUGGGCCGGCAGAGCCACACCCCGCGUCUCGCGUCACUGAGUCGCGUCACGGCUAUUGGCUUGUUCCUACUGUGGCGUCAUUAGAGCCCGGCCUCCGGCUGGGGCCACCCAGGCAACCGAUAUACACAGAGAACCACGUGGAGGAAAAGCACGCGAGUUUGGAGCGGGUGGAGCAGGAACAGAGGUGGACUGGAAUGUCACACGACGGGGCAGCUGGAAGGGCACCACUGAGUUCAGUACUUCAAAAUUGCCGUGCUCUACCUCUCCCCAGUGCACAAAAACACUCUCCACACCAAGCUGCUGCUGCUGGGGGAUGGAGGGAUGGCGUCAGCGAUUCAAGACUGUUUUUCCUACCUGUUCAGCACUUCUUUCAGCGAUAUGAAGUUAAAUCCAGAUGUCGUCAUCAUCCACUUGUUCAAACAAGAGCCCAAGGAUCAUCCUAGAUUCCUUCUCACUUCCUCUCAAUCCAUCCCUGAAACAGCCAAACCACCAAGCAGCAAGAGGGAUCUUAUAAAAAUAUGACCAGAUCACAUCCUUCAACACUUCCCUGUUACCCUUACAAUAAAAUUCAAACUCUUCACCAUGACCUCCAAGGCUCCUAUUGAAUCCGGCUCUUGUCUGCCUCUUCAGUAACAUCAUGGACCACUCCUUACCAUUCCCUCCAUCUGGCUGUGCUUCCUGCAGCUCUUCCAAUGGCUGGCUUGUUCUCACCUUUGAAGUCUCAGCUCAAAGGACACUCCCUUGGGCUCUCCCUCAUCACCCUAACUAAUAGGUCACUUAAUAUUGUUAUUAUUUUUUAGAGACAAAGUCUCACUAUGUCACCCAGGCUUGCCUCAAACUCCUGGGCUCAAGCAAUUCUCCCACCUUGGCCUCUCAAAGUUCUAGGAUUACAGGCGUGAGCCACUAUGCCUGGCUAUGUCACUUAUUAUUCUUUAUUAUCUUCUAUAUAUAAAUGAUCCCAAUCUAUAAUUAUUUGAUUUAUUGAUUGGUUUACUUGCUUAAUAUCCAACUCCCAUACUAGAAUAUAAAUGUUAUAGAACAAGAGAUUGUCUGUACCAUCCACUGUUCUAGUCUCAUUACCCCACAUAAGGCCUGGCAUGGAGUGUGCACCUAAUAAAUGUUUGAAUAAA